This 253-nucleotide ribosomal RNA is filed under the name uncultured bacterium. Its description in RNAcentral is "partial 16S ribosomal RNA". It matches the Rfam family "Bacterial small subunit ribosomal RNA", at positions 524 to 776 of the family's 1533-position model. The record is from RNAcentral.
UACAGAGGGGGCAAGCGUUGUUCGGAAUUACUGGGCGUAAAGGGCGCGUAGGCGGCCUGCUAAGUCGAACGUGAAAUCCCUGGGCUCAACCCAGGAACUGCGUCCGAUACUGGUUGGCUUGAAUCCGGGAGAGGGAUGUGGAAUUCCAAGUGUAGCGGUGAAAUGCGUAGAUAUCUGGAGGAACACCGGUGGCGAAGGCGGCAUCCUGGACCGGUAUUGACGCUGAGGCGCGAAAGCUAGGGGAGCAAACGGG